UUAUUUCUUAAAUAUUAUAAUAUAUUAGAAAGCCAUUAAUAGAACAGAAACACAAGUUGCUUGGCGACUUUUAGUUGCACGAGAUAUACUUUUUUCUUUCGUAAAUUCGUUUCCUUUGAUUAUCCUGUACAAUGCUGCAUUACGAAAGAGUACGAAAAAGACUGAUACAAGUGGAUUUUGAAAGAUCGCCAACAUACAAGGCGGAAUUAUAAGUUUGUCGUGCGUUACACUUUUAUUAGAUUGCAAUGUACGUGAGAGGGAUUUGUGGCGCAUCGAACGGACGCUUGGUCGCGAGUGUAAUACAGGAAGACAUUUCGUGUACGAGGACAAGAAAAAAUAACCGUAAUUGAGCGUUAUAAUUGAAUGCGGACGGGCAACCGAUAUUUUUCUACAAUCCUGAAAAUUAUACGGAGACGUUCUUCGGCAAUCUCAUUGCUAAAUAUCGAUGCGACCUUGUGGAUUUUCAAACUACAGGAAAUUAUCAAUUCAACGAAGAUCUUCAUGUAAUUGAAGAGUUCCUUUUUGUUGCAGAUUAAGUAAUUCUUGGUAAAAGAUACUGACGUAAAAUAUCAUAGAAGAAAUUUCACACGGUCCGCGUGUACUAAUUCAAGAGAAUAGAAAGAAAGUCUUGUUUCUCUCGGCGGCCCUUAAAAACUUGGCGUUCUAAAGGCACGCCUAAGCGCGCCGUUGCGUAAAUCAUAGCUUUUCGCGUGUAUAAAAUCGCCGGGCGAGCGAAACAAUGCCGCGCACGCUUAAGAGAACUUUUCUAGGCACGCACAAUGUGCGCCAGAUCGUACCGGUGAGAUACUGCGUGCGGAGAAUACCGGGAGGAUGCCGCUCUAAAACGUGCCCGAACGCGCUCCGUUACGGAACCCCGAGAGAAACGGCCUUUUUCCGCUGCUUGAUCUCGAUCGUAGUACGAAACGCGCAUUGCGUAUGCAUUUCUUCCAGUCGUAGGAGUCGAGCAGCUCCCUUGGGUGAAGAAUGCUGGUGGAACUUUUUCAGCCGCUCGCCGGAAUUUUAAAUUUUUCCUUCGUUGAGCUUCGAAUAGGGUGUUCCCUGGUCAAAGGGGAAGAGAACGAAAGAGAGAGAGAGAAAGAGGCGGUGAAGCUGGAACACCCUGUGCAACAUUGUGGAGGGCUCGACGGAAGACGGAAGGCUAGUCGGCGACGGAAAUGCGAUGCUUCCUGGAGCUUCCACCCAGAUGUUUAUAUUUAUUUUCAUCGCACACCCACGUGGUGAACGACGAUCCCGAUUUAUGUUAAAAUCGAUCGAUUUGUACGCAAACGACUUUCAUGUCACUAUAAAGAUGAUAAUGACAAUUCAACAACAGAUCCUGUUUGAGAAUCUAAUCUCCGAGUUGACGAACGGAUCUGUGAUCGUGAGAGUAACCCGGUGGCAAUGGUCAAUAAAAGUGCCAAAACCUCAUGCCACCCGAGUAACUUUGUCUGCCAAUUUAAUUCGGAAACCAGUAGAACCGGCUUUCGUGAGAAUUUGUUCUUCGCGCUCGGGAAAAAAGAAGAAACUGCGAGAAAAACGAGGGAGAGAGGGAGAGAGAGAGAGAGAAAGCGACAAAGACGUAAAUUUACAUAUGAUCUAAGCAAACCAAAAAAGCUUUAACAAUCUUGCUUUUUUUCGAAAGCAUAGCGUUCGGCUGCGCCGAGUUCUACGGCGCGAAAAGCGAGUCUUUAUUGUUUACAAUAGAUUACACCAAGUCGGAUUAUUUGCGGUAAUUAUGAUUAAUCCGAAUUUGCGAAUCGAGCGAGCUCGCAUCCCGAAACCGACGAGGGUCGGAUAGGACUCGAUUCGUUACAUUUUACUUAUUCGCGCGUCUUCGUUGGAGCCCCGUGGUUUGUGCAUUCUAUGUGUACAUCGCAUUACGUUGCGCAUUAGAUAUCGCAGCAGAUUAUCGCGCGCGAUAUCGCGAUAUGUACGAUGGCGCAGAUCUGAGGUUGGCAACGAGAACGAUGUCUUUUUCUUCGGGCUGACAUGGCACGCGGGAUAUUCCGUCAUAUUUACGAGCGCUCGGGGAAUGAAUCCCCUUUUCGGGACUCGCAUAAACUAUGAAAACGUAUUCGCGCGGUCACGAAUCGAAAGAUUCUAAAACUGGCGCCAGAUUAUGCGCGAUUUGUGGCGAUUCUUGCUCUUUGAUUUCGUAAAAAAAAAAGAAAGUUGCUGGCAUUGAUACGAAUGAUAAACGAUGAAUGCGAACAUGCCCAUUCACGCUACUUGCGAAUCUCAUACGAAUAACGAACAGUAAAUCUCAAACCUCGAAUCGCGCAUAAUCUAGCUCUAGCUGGUAAUUUAAUCACACUUUUCCAGUAUUUCGUCAGAGACAACGUAAAGACUCGCUAUUUUUAGAAUCUAGUUAAUAAAACA
Molecule: long non-coding RNA, 2379 nt
Organism: Temnothorax curvispinosus
Lineage: Eukaryota; Metazoa; Arthropoda; Insecta; Hymenoptera; Formicidae
Exons: 4
Source: RefSeq, a predicted model, not a curated record